Molecule: unclassified non-coding RNA, 222 nt
Filed under: Hevea brasiliensis (rubber tree)
Lineage: Eukaryota; Viridiplantae; Streptophyta; Magnoliopsida; Malpighiales; Euphorbiaceae
Source: RNAcentral
GGGGUUCUGACAAACCUUUGGCAAUCCUAAAUGCAAACAAUACCAAGGUUGAAAGCACUCACUUCGCAAGAUAUGACUCUACAACAUCAGCCCUGUUGCCUUUCAUAACCUUCUAGUAGACUCCACCUCUACUUUUGUUGGAUCCGACUCUCCAUUCAAUGAGCUUAUUCAUUGCAAUGCUUCUUAGUUCUCAUAUAUAUGAGAGGCCAAGCACAGAAUUGG